RNAcentral lists this RNase P RNA (275 nucleotides) under Alcanivorax sp. HI0007. RNAcentral describes it as "RNase P RNA component class A". It matches the Rfam family "Bacterial RNase P class A", at positions 44 to 197 of the family's 367-position model. From Rfam's summary of the family: Ribonuclease P (RNase P) is a ubiquitous endoribonuclease, found in archaea, bacteria and eukarya as well as chloroplasts and mitochondria. Its best characterised activity is the generation of mature 5'-ends of tRNAs by cleaving the 5'-leader elements of precursor-tRNAs. The record is from RNAcentral. Lineage: Bacteria; Pseudomonadati; Pseudomonadota; Gammaproteobacteria; Oceanospirillales; Alcanivoracaceae.
AGGAAAGUCCGGGCUCCACAGGGCAGGGUGCCAGGUAACGCCUGGGGGCCACACUGGUGACGGUGUGGCUACGGCUAGUGCCACAGAGAAGAUACCGCCUGUUCCUUCCUCGUGUCGGAACCGGUAAGGGUGAAAAGGUGCGGUAAGAGCGCACCUUUUCACCCUUACCGGUUCCGACACGAGGAAGGAACAGGCGGUAUCUUCUCUGUGGCACUAGCCGUAGCCACACCGUCACCAGUGUGGCCCCCAGGCGUUACCUGGCACCCUGCCCUGUG